RNAcentral lists this ribosomal RNA (119 nucleotides) under Salmo salar (Atlantic salmon). Lineage: Eukaryota; Metazoa; Chordata; Actinopteri; Salmoniformes; Salmonidae. The record is from RNAcentral.
GCUUACGGCCAUAUCAGCCUGGGUAGGCCCGAUCUCGUCUGAUCUCGGAAGCUAAGCAGGGUCGGGCCUGGUUAGUACUUGGAUGGGAAACCGCCUGGGAAUACCAGGUGCUGUAAGCA